This 253-nucleotide ribosomal RNA is filed under the name uncultured bacterium. RNAcentral describes it as "partial 16S ribosomal RNA". It matches the Rfam family "Bacterial small subunit ribosomal RNA", at positions 524 to 776 of the family's 1533-position model. The record is from RNAcentral.
UACAGAGGUCUCAAGCGUUGUUCGGAUUCAUUGGGCGUAAAGGGUGCGUAGGCGGCGCGGUAAGUCGGGUGUGAAAUCUCGGGGCUUAACUCCGAAACUGCAUUCGAUACUGCCGUGCUUGAGGACUGGAGAGGAGACUGGAAUUUACGGUGUAGCGGUGAAAUGCGUAGAUAUCGUAAGGAAGACCAGUGGCGAAGGCGGGUCUCUGGGACGUGACUGACGCUGAGACGCGAAAGCGUGGGGAGCAAACAGG